CGUGUAGGCGGACUCGCAAGUCGGUUGUGAAAUCCCUGGGCUCAACCUAGGAACUGCAUCCGAAACUGCUUGUCUUGAGUAAUGGAGAGGGUGGCGGAAUUCCCGGUGUAGAGGUGAAAUUCGUAGAUAUCGGGAGGAACAUCAGUGGCGAAGGCGGCCACCUGGACAUUUACUGACGCUGAGACGCGAAAGCGUGGGGAGCAAACAGGAUUAGAUACCCUGGUAGUCC
This 229-nucleotide ribosomal RNA is filed under the name uncultured bacterium. RNAcentral's name for it is "partial 16S ribosomal RNA". It matches the Rfam family "Bacterial small subunit ribosomal RNA", at positions 568 to 796 of the family's 1533-position model. The record is from RNAcentral.